GAUGAACGCUGGCGGCGUGCCUAACACAUGCAAGUCGAACGGACAGACGAUGAGAUUGUGCCCUUGACGUUAGCGGCGGACGGGUGAGUAACACGUGGAUAACCUACUUAUUUUUCUGGGAUAACAACGGAAAACAGGUUCCAAUACUGCAUAAUAUAUUGAACCGCAUGGAUCAAUAGUGAAUGACGGCUUUGCUGUCACAAAUAGACGGUUCCGCGCCGGAUUAGCUAGUUGGUAAGGUAACGGCUUACCAAGGCAACGAUGCGUAGCCGAUCUGAGAGGGUGAUCGGCCACACUGGAACUGAGACACGGUCCAGACUCCUACGGGAGGCAGCAGUAGGGAAUCUUCCGCAAUGGGCGAAAGCCUGACGGAGCAACGCCGCGUGAGUGAUGAAGGUCUUCGGAUCGUAAAGCUCUGUUAUUAGGGAAGAACAGAUGUGUAAGUAACUAUGCACGUCUUGACGGUACCUAAUCAGAAAGCCACGGCUAACUACGUG
Molecule: ribosomal RNA, 497 nt
Filed under: uncultured bacterium
Lineage: Bacteria
Description: partial 16S ribosomal RNA
Rfam family: Bacterial small subunit ribosomal RNA
Source: RNAcentral